Bufo bufo (common toad) is the source of this 141-nucleotide long non-coding RNA. RefSeq lists it as uncharacterized. Lineage: Eukaryota; Metazoa; Chordata; Amphibia; Anura; Bufonidae. The record is from RefSeq and is a predicted model, not a curated record. The transcript has 3 exons.
UCAGCUCUGUACAUAAAAAAGGCUCCAUAUUUUUUAAUUAAGACCAAUUGAAAAAAGAUUUUUAGCACAAAAGGAGUACAAUGCAAUAAUAAAAAUAAAUUGUCCCCAAAGGUGUACAUAGCCUUUAAAUCAGACUGUAAG